Long non-coding RNA from Brassica napus (rape), 1006 nucleotides. RefSeq lists it as uncharacterized. Lineage: Eukaryota; Viridiplantae; Streptophyta; Magnoliopsida; Brassicales; Brassicaceae. The transcript is spliced from 2 exons. The record is from RefSeq and is a predicted model, not a curated record.
AACUAAAUUUUAAUUAUGGCAUGCAUCUUAACAUUUAUAUAAAUAUAUAUCAUAACCUAAAUAUAAAUAAUUUAACAACUUAAAUUAGAAAAAAAAAAUAAAAAUCUCGGGUGUAGCCCGGGUUCAUCUCUAGUCUAAUAUAAAGAAGAGCUACUCUCUUCUCCCAUACUGCCACGUCAUCAAUUCAUGCAUUAUGGGAGUGACAUGUCCCUUACAAUCAUACGCUGCGUUUUGUCUGAAUCGUUUAUGGGUUUUACGAACACAAGCCGGCUUGGACUAACGUUAUUUGGGCUCAUAACAAAACAAAAUCAAAGCCGAAUUCUUUUACCUUCACCUUCUUCAGACGUUGCGACCAUGGAUUUCUAGGGUUCAUCAUGUUGUGGGAGCUUUGAUUAGGUCAACCGACUAUGGAGUUUCUGGAGUUUUAUGUUACAUGAAUCGUCAUGAAGAAACUCUGGAUCGAACUCUGUUUGUGACGUUUUCGUUUGAGGUUCCUCUCCUCCAGACCGUUACAGAUGCUUUGAUUGAUGGUCUUAACUCAUUCUCCCCACUCUUACCAAGAUUCCUCAUUCAAUGCAUUUCUCUUCCAGUCGGUCAAUCUUUUGCUAUAAAAAGCUGGUAGCUGUAGCACCACCGUCCAAGGCCGUCUUGGAGGCCAAGAAUGUGAAAAGAGGUUGCGAUCUUAUGGGCGUAGUAUGCUUCUCCUUGAUGCCAAGGUAGCCCCGGCGAUUUCCAAAACAAACCAUUCCCUUUUCCUUUAAGAUUUACAAGUGAAGGUAUGAUUAGUCAUUUGAGUUUAACGUUUUUCAGGCAUAGAUUUUGAGUAUAUUAAUCAUCUGAUUCUUCCCUUUUCCAAUUGGUUCUGAUUCUCGCUGUAUGUGUAACAAAAAAGAUAGAAGGUGUUUAUUUCUAAAGAGUUAGUUCAUUUGUCGACAUCUAAACCAUUUAAUUCAAUCUAUGAUUUGUGAGUUUCAACAUCAUUUUGAAUCAAUUAUUUUUUCGAGAA